AGCAGCCGCGGUAAUUCCAGCUCCAAUAGCGUAUAUUAAAGUUGCUGCAGUUAAAAAGCUCGUAGUUGAAUUUCGGGACCAUCAUGUCGGUCGUGCCUCGGUACGUACUGGUAUUGUUGGUUUCUCCCUUCUGACGAACCAUGAUGUCAUUUAUUUGGUGUUGUGGGGAAUCAGGACUGUUACUUUGAAAAAAUUAGAGUGUUUAAAGCAGGCUCACGCUUGAAUACAUUAGCAUGGAAUAAUGAAAUAGGACGUUUGAUUCUAUUUUGUUGGUUUCUAGGAUCGACGUAAUGAUUAAUAGGGAUAGUUGGGGGCAUUAGUAUUCAAUUGUCAGAGGUGAAAUUCUUGGAUUUAUUGAAGACUAACUACUGCGAAAGCAUUUGCCAAGGAUGUUUUCAUUAAUCAAGAACGAAAGUUAGGGGAUCGAAGACGAUCAGAUACCGUCGUAGUCUUAACCAUAAACUAUGCCGACUAGGGAUCGGAUGAUGUUAAUUUUUUAAUGACUCAUUCGGCGCCUUACG
This 521-nucleotide ribosomal RNA is filed under the name uncultured fungus. Its description in RNAcentral is "SSU rRNA". It matches the Rfam family "Eukaryotic small subunit ribosomal RNA", at positions 569 to 1092 of the family's 1831-position model. RNAcentral also lists the same sequence under 1 other name. Lineage: Eukaryota; Fungi. The record is from RNAcentral.